CCCUUAGAUGUUCUGGGCCGCACACGCGCUACACUGAUGCAUUCAACGAGUUACCUUGGCCGAGAGGCCUGGGCAAUCUUUUGAACGUGCAUCGUGAUAGGGAUAGAUUAUUGCAAUUAUUAAUCUUGAACGAGGAAUUCCUAGUAAACGCAGUUCAUCAAACUGCAUUGAUUACGUCCCUGCCCUUUGUACACACCGCCCGUCGCACCUACCGAUUGGAUGGUCCGGUGAAGCCUCGGGAUUGUGGCCAGUGCCUUUUUGGUUUUGGUUGCGAGAACUUGUCUAAACCUUAUCAUCUAGAGGAAGGUGAAGUCGUAACA
This 320-nucleotide ribosomal RNA is filed under the name uncultured eukaryote. Its description in RNAcentral is "partial 18S ribosomal RNA". It matches the Rfam family "Eukaryotic small subunit ribosomal RNA", at positions 1470 to 1796 of the family's 1831-position model. The record is from RNAcentral.